AUGAAGUUCCUGUUCCAGUUCCCCUGCUGCUCCUGCUUCUGCUACAUCAAGAAGAAGAAGAGCAGCAAAUCGAAGGACUGA
This 81-nucleotide ribosomal RNA is filed under the name Triticum aestivum (bread wheat). Its description in RNAcentral is "partial small subunit ribosomal RNA". Lineage: Eukaryota; Viridiplantae; Streptophyta; Magnoliopsida; Poales; Poaceae. The record is from RNAcentral.